GAUGAACGCUGGCGGCGUGCCUAAUACAUGCAAGUCGAGCGAAUGGAUUAAGAGCUUGCUCUUAUGAAGUUAGCGGCGGACGGGUGAGUAACACGUGAGUAACCUGCCCUUGACUCUGGGAUAACUGCGGGAAACUGUAGCUAAUACCGGAUACGACCCUCGGCGGCAUCGCCAGGGGGUGGAAAGAAUUUCGGUCAAGGAUGGACUCGCGGCCUAUCAGCUAGUUGGUGAGGUAACGGCUCACCAAGGCGACGACGGGUAGCCGGCCUGAGAGGGUGACCGGCCACACUGGGACUGAGACACGGCCCAGACUCCUACGGGAGGCAGCAGUAGGGAAUCUUUCACAAUGGGGGCAACCCUGAUGGAGCAACGCCGCGUGCGGGACGAAGGCCUUCGGGUCGUAAACCGCUUUUAUUAUUGAGAAAUAUGAUGGUAGAUGAUGAAUAAGGAUCGGCUAACUACGUGCCAGCCGCCGCCGUAA
Molecule: ribosomal RNA, 481 nt
Filed under: uncultured bacterium
Lineage: Bacteria
Description: partial 16S ribosomal RNA
Rfam family: Bacterial small subunit ribosomal RNA
Source: RNAcentral